Brienomyrus brachyistius is the source of this 402-nucleotide long non-coding RNA. RefSeq lists it as uncharacterized. The record is from RefSeq and is a predicted model, not a curated record. The transcript is spliced from 3 exons. Lineage: Eukaryota; Metazoa; Chordata; Actinopteri; Osteoglossiformes; Mormyridae.
CCUGCUCCAGCUGCCUUUGGAUGAUCUGAGGGGGUCAAGACCAGACAUGUGCGUUAGCCAGGCUGACUUCACCAGACAGUGGUUAGAGGAUACUAAUCUUCAUCAUUCUUCCACCAUGACCAGCAACACCAUCAUGACCAUCACCACCACCAUAGGAAUCCAUCUGCUGCAAAUUUUCAGGUGCAAAUGGAUUGUGGGCAGAAACCUGAGAACCCCAGAGGAAACCCCAUUACAACAUGGGGACAAGAUGCAAACUCCACACACAUGGAACCAUGGGCCCCAGAGAACACUCAUCCUGGUAAGGACGGUGGUGCCAAUAGGCCAGCACAUCUGGACCGGACCUCUCUCUCCAGGAUAUCUGACACUAGCGCAUUCUGGGGCAUCCCCAGAUGUUCCCAAGCC